AAGGACCCCGGGAGGGGAGUGAAAGAGAACCUGAAACCUUGUGCUUACAAGCACUCAAAGCCCGUUAAAGGGUGAUGAGGUACCUUUUGUAGAAUGGUCCGGCGAGUUAUUGUUACUGGCAAGCUUAAGGCAUUCAGUGCCGGAGGCGCAGGGAGACCGAGUCUGAAUAGGGCGUAUGAAGUCAGUGGCAAUAGACCCGAAACCGGGUGACCUAUCCAUGGGCAGGUUGAAGUGGGGGUAAAACCCCAUGGAGGACCGAACCGACCCCCGUUGCAAUGGUGGCGGAUGACCUGUGGAUAGCGGAGAAAUUCUAAUCGAACUUGGAGAUAGCUGGUUCUCCCCGAAAUAGCUUUAGGGCUAGCGUUAGUUUAGAUUACCGGAGGUAAAGCACUGAAUGGGCUAGGGGCUGAUAAAGUUACUGAACCCUAUCAAACUAAGAAUGCCGGCAAAUUGAUGAUCAGCAGUCAGACUACGUGAGAUAAGUCUCGUGGUCAAAAGGGAAACAGCCCAGACCCACAGCUAAGGUCCCAAAGAUACGCUAAGUGGAAAACGAUGUGGAGUUGCGAAAACAACCAGGAUGUUGGCUUAGAAGCAGCCACUCAUUAAAAGAGUGCGUAAUAGCUCACUGGUCGAGUGACCCUGCGCCGAAAAUUCAACGGGGCUAAACAAUGUACCGAAGCUUGGGAUUCUAGAUUUAUCUAGAGUGGUAGGAGAGCGUCGAAUAAGGGGUGAAGUCAGAGCGGAAGCGCUGGUGGACUUUAUUCGAGUGAGAAUGCCGGAAUGAGUAGCGAGAAUUAUGUGAGAAUCAUAAUGGCCGAAAAUCUAAGGUUUCCUGAGGAAGGUUCGUCCGCUCAGGGUAAGCCGGGGGCUAAGGCGAGGCGGAGACGCGUAGCCGAUGCACAUACGGUUGAAAUUCCGUAGCCACCGAAAGAUUUAAGUACAGGGACGCUUUAGAAGUGAUGUAGCCGGGCGAUGGUUGACCCGGUCGUAAGGGAUCGAAAAUGAGUAGAGAAGUCAUCAUGGAAAGAGACAAGAAAAGCUGUAUGAAUAUCUUAGGUGCCCGUACCGCAAACCGACACAGGUAGAUAGGAAGAAGAUUCUAAGGCCAACGGGAGAAGGGUUGUUAAGGAACUCGGCAAGUUGACCCCGUAACUUCGGAAGAAGGGGAGCCUCGAAAGAGGCCGCAGUGAAUAGGCCCAAGCAACUGUUUACCAAAAACACAGGUCUAUGCUAAAUCGAAAGAUGACGUAUAUGGGCUGACGCCUGCCCGGUGCCGGAAGGUUAAGAGGAGAUGUCAGCGCAAGCGAAGCAUUGAAUUGAAGCCCCGGUAAACGGCGGCCGUAACUAUAACGGUCCUAAGGUAGCGAAAUUCCUUGUCAGGUAAGUUCUGACCCGCAUGAAAGGCGUAAUGAUUUGGGCACUGUCUCAACAGCCCGCCCGGCGAAAUUGUAGUACCGGUGAAGAUGCCGGUUACCCGCAACUAGACGGAAAGACCCCAUGGAGCUUUACUGCAGCUUAAUACUGGAAAUCGGUAAUUCAUGUACAGGAUAGGUGGGAGACUUGGAAGUCCGGGCGUCAGCUUGGAUGGAGUCGCCGGUGGGAUACCACUCUUGGAUUGCUGAUUUUCUAACCUGCGGCCGUGAAUCCGGUCGGGGGACACUGUUAGGCGGGCAGUUUGACUGGGGCGGUCGCCUCCUAAAAUGUAACGGAGGCGCUCAAAGGUUGGCUCAGCACGGACGGAAAUCGUGCAGUGAGUGUAAACGUAUAAGCCAGCCUAACUGCGAGACCGACGGGUCGAGCAGUAACGAAAGUUGGAGUUAGUGAUCCGGUGGUAUGUGAGUGGAAAUGCCAUCGCUCAACGGAUAAAAGCUACCCUGGGGAUAACAGGCUGAUCUCCCCCAAGCGUCCACAGCGACGGGGAGGUUUGGCACCUCGAUGUCGGCUCGUCACAUCCUGGGGCUGAAUUCGGUCCCAAGGGUUCGGCUGUUCGCCGAUUAAAGUGGCACGCGAGCUGGGUUCAGAACGUCGUGAGACAGUUCGGUCCCUAUCUGUUGCGGGCGUAAGAGAUUUGAAGGGAGCUGUCCUUAGUACGAGAGGACCGGGAUGGACAUACCUCUGGUGCACCAGUUGUCCUGCCAAGGGCAUAGCUGGGUAGCUAAGUAUGGACGAGAUAAACGCUGAAAGCAUCUAAGCGUGAAACUCCCCCUAAGAUGAGAUCUCUCACUCUUCAUGAGGUAAGGGCCCAGGCAGACUACCUGGUUGA
RNAcentral lists this ribosomal RNA (2263 nucleotides) under human gut metagenome. Its description in RNAcentral is "bacterial LSU rRNA". It matches the Rfam family "Bacterial large subunit ribosomal RNA", at positions 519 to 2856 of the family's 2925-position model. The record is from RNAcentral.